Molecule: ribosomal RNA, 498 nt
Filed under: uncultured bacterium
Lineage: Bacteria
Description: bacterial SSU rRNA
Rfam family: Bacterial small subunit ribosomal RNA
Source: RNAcentral
AGGCGGCAUGCUUUCACAUGCAAGUCGGACGGCAGCGAGGUGGUGCUUGCACCACUGUCGGCGAGUGGCGAACGGGUGAGUAAUGCAUUGGAACGUACCGAGUAGUGGGGGAUAACUGUCCGAAAGGAUAGCUAAUACCGCAUACGACCUGAGGGUGAAAGCGGGGGACUCUUUGAGCCUCGCGCUAUUUGAGCGGCCAAUGUCUGAUUAGCUAGUUGGUGGGGUAAAGGCCUACCAAGGCGACGAUCAGUAGCGGGUCUGAGAGGAUGAUCCGCCGCACUGGGACUGAGACACGGCCCAGACUCCUACGGGAGGCAGCAGUGGGGAAUUUUGGACAAUGGGGGGAACCCUGAUCCAGCCAUGCCGCGUGUCUGAAGAAGGCCUUCGGGUUGUAAAGGACUUUUGUACGGGAAGAAAAGGUUAAUGAUAAUACCAUUGACUGAUGACGGUACCGUAAGAAUAAGCACCGGCUAACUACGUGCCAGCAGCCGCGGUAAU